UAAGGAAUAUUGGUCAAUGGACGCAAGUCUGAACCAGCCAUGCCGCGUGAAGGAUGAAGGUCCUCUGGAUUGUAAACUUCUUUUAUCUGGGACGAAAACGGGAUUUUUAUCUCAAUUGACGGUACCAGAGGAAUAAGCACCGGCUAACUCCGUGCCAGCAGCCGCGGUAAUACGGAGGGUGCGAGCGUUAUCCGGAUUUACUGGGUUUAAAGGGUGCGUAGGUGGGCUUAUAAGUCAGUGGUGAAAUCUCCGAGCUUAACUUGGAAACUGCCGUUGAUGCUAUAGGUCUUGAAUUAUCUGGAGGUAAGCGGAAUAUGUCAUGUAGCGGUGAAAUGCUUAGAUAUGACAUAGAACACCAAUUGCGAAGGCAGCUUACUACAUAUAAAUUGACGCUGAGGCACGAAAGCGUGGGGAUCAAACA
RNAcentral lists this ribosomal RNA (421 nucleotides) under uncultured bacterium. RNAcentral describes it as "bacterial SSU rRNA". It matches the Rfam family "Bacterial small subunit ribosomal RNA", at positions 355 to 774 of the family's 1533-position model. The record is from RNAcentral.